Molecule: ribosomal RNA, 1297 nt
Filed under: Peranema trichophorum
Lineage: Eukaryota; Euglenozoa; Peranemea; Peranemida; Peranemidae
Description: partial large subunit ribosomal RNA
Rfam family: Eukaryotic large subunit ribosomal RNA
Source: RNAcentral
AGGAAAGGAAAGAAACAUCGACGGUCUUAGUAAAGGCGAUUGAAGAGGCCAAUAAGGCUAUCCCUGAACCACUGGCAAACCCGAUGAGGGUAGGCACGCUUGCCUAUGCUGUGGGUUGUAGGGUGUUGAGAGUACGGAGACAAAGGUGGUGCUUCUUUGGCUGUAUCGAGAGGUCUGGAAAGGCCCAUCCUCAGACGGGUUAUAGUCCCGUACCUUCAGUCUUAAUGGAGUUGAUUGCCUAGCCCUGUGCUACUCAAAGAGUAGAACAACUUGAGCGUGUUGUUUGAAGAAGCGAGGUGAAUCCCUCGCAAGCCUAAGUACUGACACGAGACCGAUAGUAAACAAGUAGAGCGAUUGAAAUGUGAAAAGCACCUGUGAAAGAGAGUUAAAAGAACCUGAAGCCAAGGUCGGAUCAGCGGUGCUAAUUGCCUUACCGGAGUGCUGGUCCAGCUACGGCUGUGUGACCCUCCCCUAGGCUGUUGUUGGAGGGUUCGUCCUUCCUCAAUGGCUGAUGGGUAUGCCGAGACUGAAUAGGGAUAACAUAGGUCUGUGAUGAUAGACACCUUGAGCCAUUACUAAUAGCCUAACUGUGCAAUUUAGAAGGGCCGACUCUCCGGAGUCUGCGGUGACUGUUGGUCAUUGUUUGUAGUCACACAAACUCAGCCUACAAUGUUGUCUCUGCUAAAGCUUAGGAUUGACAAAACUGUCGAAACUAAAGAACUCAGGAUCUUAUGGGAUUUGCAUCUUGAAAAAGGGGCAUCUCGCCCGAGGACUGGUUUGCUAAAAGGAUAAAGGAAUUGACACUGUCUGGACACGAAAGUGAUCGGAAAAGCUAAGACCUGUAACUGGAUGCCUCAACUGGUUUAGUACUUUCAGAAGUACAAAGGGAUAUUCUGAGUAUCAGUCGUAUUAAUCAAAAGGAAUUAGCGCUUCCCGUCUUGAAACACGGAUCAAGGAGUCUACUGUCAGUGCAAGUAUAAAGGAAUAGGGUUUGCAAAACCUAGAUAAGGAGAUCUCAUCUUGAGGUCUGUGGUGCGUAGUGAAAGCAAAACCUGUGCAGGUGUCUAGUUCUCUUUCCGGAGAUAGACUACCCUCAACAGGGGCCGAUCUUGAGUCCACUGGAUCGAGUUUUGAGUCAAAGCAUUGGUAGUUGGACCCGAAAGGUGGUGAGCUAUACCCUUGGACAGUGAAGUCAUGGGAAACUGUGAUGGAAGCUGGUCUUACUGUGCUAACGUGCAAAUUGCUAGUCACACAUGGGCAUAGGGGCGAAAGACUCAUCGAACCACCUAGUAGCUGG